CAGUUUAUAGCUUAAAGAAAGCUCCUCCCUUACACCGAGAAGUUGUCCGUGGAACCCAGACUAAACUGA
RNAcentral lists this transfer RNA (69 nucleotides) under Lepophidium profundorum (blackrim cusk-eel). RNAcentral's name for it is "tRNA-Val". Lineage: Eukaryota; Metazoa; Chordata; Actinopteri; Ophidiiformes; Ophidiidae. The record is from RNAcentral.